This 74-nucleotide transfer RNA is filed under the name Marmota monax (woodchuck). RNAcentral's name for it is "tRNA.Ala". The record is from RNAcentral. Lineage: Eukaryota; Metazoa; Chordata; Mammalia; Rodentia; Sciuridae.
GUGGGGAUGUGGCUCAAGCGGUAGUGCACUCGCCUGGCAUGCACGGGGCGCUGGGUUCGAUCCUCAGCACCACA